This 69-nucleotide transfer RNA is filed under the name Ictidomys tridecemlineatus (thirteen-lined ground squirrel). Its description in RNAcentral is "Spermophilus tridecemlineatus (thirteen-lined ground squirrel) tRNA". It matches the Rfam family "tRNA". From Rfam's summary of the family: Transfer RNA (tRNA) molecules are approximately 80 nucleotides in length. Their secondary structure includes four short double-helical elements and three loops (D, anti-codon, and T loops). The record is from Rfam by way of RNAcentral. Lineage: Eukaryota; Metazoa; Chordata; Mammalia; Rodentia; Sciuridae.
GGGGUUGUGGCUCAGUGGUAGAGCACUUGCCUGGCAUGUGUGAGGCCCUGGGUCCGAUCCUCAGCACCG